GUCCCGGAAGCGGAUCGCGGUGUGUGAAGGUGACACCGCCGAGCAAGAGUGUGCCUAGGUGUAGAUUAAGCCUUCGAUUCGCCGUCCCGCUUUUCCACACCCGCUCUGCUGACCUUAAAAUCCCCGCAUCGCGCCCUUCACCCGAGCCGGAUGUGGUGCUGCACGCCUGUAAUCUCAGCUACUCUGAGGGUGAGGCAGGCAAAUCGCUUGAUCCCGAGAGAGGGAGGUUGCAGUCAUCGGAGAUCGCGCCACUGCACUCCAGCCUGGGCGAGAGAGCAAGACUCCACGUCAAAAAUGUUUUUAAUUAAAAAAAAUAAAAAUGUAUUUCUCUUAAUUUUCUUCUUGCCUCCCUGAUCACUUUACACUUUUCUCUUCUAGUAUGUCUUGAGCUCUGUUUUCUGAAUGUGGAGUGACCCUCAGCUUACCCCUCGGACUUCUGAUCUCUGCCCACACCCACUGCCCUUAUCAUCUCAUCUCAUGGCUUUAAACCCACCUACACGGCUCCAUGUUCCCUGCAGACCUCUCCCCUGAACACUGGAAUCCUGUGUCC
This 550-nucleotide long non-coding RNA is filed under the name Homo sapiens (human). RNAcentral describes it as "non-protein coding lnc-ZNF160-2:1". The record is from RNAcentral. Lineage: Eukaryota; Metazoa; Chordata; Mammalia; Primates; Hominidae.